RNAcentral lists this ribosomal RNA (253 nucleotides) under uncultured bacterium. RNAcentral's name for it is "partial 16S ribosomal RNA". It matches the Rfam family "Bacterial small subunit ribosomal RNA", at positions 524 to 776 of the family's 1533-position model. The record is from RNAcentral.
UACGUAUGGUGCAAGCGUUAUCCGGAUUUACUGGGUGUAAAGGGCGUGUAGGCGGGACUGCAAGUCAGAUGUGAAAACCAUGGGCCCAACCCAUGGCCUGCAUUUGAAACUGUAGUUCUUGAGUGAUGGAGAGGCAGGCGGAAUUCCGUGUGUAGCGGUGAAAUGCGUAGAUAUACGGAGGAACACCAGUGGCGAAGGCUGCCUGCUGGACAUUAACUGACGCUGAGGCUCGAAAGUGUGGGGAGCAAACAGG